UUUGGUAGAAGAGAACUUUACUCCAUCUGUUCAAUUUUCAUGCUCCUCUCUUAAAAAUCGUUUCCUCUCCCAUCUCUUCAACAGAAGAGAAUUUUAUUCUGUUUCUUCAGUUUCCAUGCUCUUCUCCUAAAUUCCUCAAAAUCAACUUGAAAUCCCACUUCUUUUUUACCUAAAAUGUUCUACAAGCUCUCUUCCCCUUCCCUCUCCCCACUCCCCUCGGCGUGGUGGUUGGCGCAACCGAGAUCGAAACCGAGAAUGUGGUAGGGACCACGACUAAGAUCAAAAGCGCGAGAGAGCACCACCUGUGCCCCAGUACGCCUCAAUCCCGAACCUUAGCUACCUGAUGGCCCCAAACCCUAGCAUCCAGCCUCCAGGGGUGGCGGCAAUGCCUCCAGGGGUUGCGCCGAGUUGUGUCAGAGUUGCGGUGGUGCGCCCGGCGAGGAUGUAUUGCGCCCGAACAAUCGCCGGAGCACUGUGGGCAGGUUCCGAAUGGGUAUAUGGUGGUUUCUCCUCAGUCAGGAUUGAUCCUUCUCCUGUGGGUUUUCUUGAACUACUAUUUACUCUUUAUGAUCAAUUUCAUUCUUUGGCAUUUCUUUUGCUCGCUUAUAAUCUAUGAUGAUUUGGCUUUGAUUCAUGGAUUAUAAAAGUAAGAAUUUUAUAUUCAUGUUAGAUUUUAUUAAUUAAAUUUAGUGGCAGUAUAUUAUGUUAAAUAUUCUGUUGUUAGUAGAAAUAAUCGCAUUGGAGAUACGAGCUACAGUAAUAUUAUGUUAAGUGUUCUGAUAAGUUUUCUAUUGUUAUACUGUGUGUCGAGAUACGCAUACAUUGAUCAUGAAAGUAGAAGGGAUGGGUUGAUGGGUGAAAAAGAGUUUUUGAAACUAAAAAAUAAAUGAAAUAAAAUUAAAAAAAACAAUUGUUUGGAAAGGGAUUCUCUUGAUAUCGAUAAUUGGAAUUUUCUACUACAACUUUUUGUCGAUAACGUUGUUAUCGGUGAGAAACGUCAACAAUCGCAAUUAUUGCAGUUGUUAAAAAAUUACUUUCCCUCUAUGUUGAUAUACUUAAAUUUACCUAAUUGCAUUUCAUUUACACAAACGAUCAUCACCACGCCGCCUCGGUCGAGCUUGCAGACAGCGUUCCUAAAAAUCAUUAGACCAAUAACAGACAUCAUUAGAAAAAUUACAUAUUAAAGUUGCUCUCGCAUAUAACUAGAAUCUUAUAAAGCUUCAAAACUUUUUGUUGUGCUCCUACUAAUUUUUUUGUUUUUGAGAGAUAGGUAGCACGCUACCCGCUUCGUUUAUUUCAUUUAGAAAUAAACUUAGCUAGAAAUGUGAAUCAAUUAGGAUUCGAACUUGGGUCGAGGGUACCAACCACUAAGCCCUUUGCCACUAGCCCUUUGCCACUUGUUCUAAGGGACGGUCGGUUGCUCCUACUAAUGUUGCUUUUGCCAUAGCUCGGCUCGCUUUUGCCAUAGCUCGGCUCAACGGUUCAUUGACAUUUGCUGAAAAGAUAUUGCUUUUUUUUUUAUUAGUUAUAUUAUUUCAUCCUUAUCGCGUGUAAAUUUAAAUUUAAAAUUUACUUGAAUUUUAUGAUGAAUUUAAUUUAAGGUGGGUUUCUUUAUUUGGUGUUUUCAGGUUUUAAAGUUACAAAUUAAUGACAAAAGAGAGGCCGCAACCGACCCAAG
Molecule: long non-coding RNA, 1678 nt
Filed under: Ananas comosus (pineapple)
Lineage: Eukaryota; Viridiplantae; Streptophyta; Magnoliopsida; Poales; Bromeliaceae
Description: long non-coding RNA (ACOM_LNC009904)
Source: RNAcentral